GACGAACGCUGGCGGCGUGCCUAAUACAUGCAAGUCGAACGCUUUUUCUUUCACCGGAGCUUGCUCCACCGAAAGAAAAAGAGUGGCGAACGGGUGAGUAACACGUGGGUAACCUGCCCAUCAGAAGGGGAUAACGCUUGGAAACAGGUGCUAAUACCGUAUAACACUAUUUUCCGCAUGGAAGAAAGUUGAAAGGCGCUUUUGCGUCACUGAUGGAUGGACCCGCGGUGCAUUAGCUAGUUGGUGAGGUAACGGCUCACCAAGGCAACGAUGCAUAGCCGACCUGAGAGGGUGAUCGGCCACACUGGGACUGAGACACGGCCCAGACUCCUACGGGAGGCAGCAGUAGGGAAUCUUCGGCAAUGGACGAAAGUCUGACCGGGCAACGCCGCGUGAGUGAAGAAGGUUUUCGGAUCGUAAAACUCUGUUGUUAGAGAAGAACAAGGAUGAGAGUAGAACGUUCAUCCCUUGACGGUAUCUAACCAGAAAGCCACGGCUAACUACGUGCCAGCCGCCGCCGUAA
Molecule: ribosomal RNA, 523 nt
Filed under: uncultured bacterium
Lineage: Bacteria
Description: partial 16S ribosomal RNA
Rfam family: Bacterial small subunit ribosomal RNA
Source: RNAcentral